AGCAGCCGCGGUAAUUCCAGCUCCAAUAGCGUAUAUUAAAGUUGUUGCAGUUAAAAAGCUCGUAGUUGAACCUCGGGAUCAAUUGAUCGGUCAUGCCAUUGGUAUGUACUGGUCAUAUUGGUUCUCACCUUCUAAGGAACCUUAAUGUCAUUAAUUUGAUGUUUUGGGGAAUUAGGACUGUUACCUUGAAAAAAUUAGAGUGUUUAAAGCAGGCUAACGCUUGAAUACAUUAGCAUGGAAUAAUGAAAUAGGACAUCGCAUUCUAUUUUGUUGGUUUCUAGGAUCGAUGUAAUGAUUAAUAGGGAUAGUUGGGGGCAUUAGUAUUCAAUUGUCAGAGGUGAAAUUCUUGGAUUUAUUGAAGACUAACUACUGCGAAAGCAUUUGCCAAGGAUGUUUUCAUUAAUCAAGAACGAAAGUUAGGGGAUCGAAGACGAUCAGAUACCGUCGUAGUCUUAACCAUAAACUAUGCCGACUAGGGAUCGGAUGAUGUUGAUUUUUUAAUGACUC
This 507-nucleotide ribosomal RNA is filed under the name uncultured Glomus. Its description in RNAcentral is "SSU rRNA". It matches the Rfam family "Eukaryotic small subunit ribosomal RNA", at positions 569 to 1077 of the family's 1831-position model. The record is from RNAcentral. Lineage: Eukaryota; Fungi; Glomeromycota; Glomeromycetes; Glomerales; Glomeraceae.